Molecule: ribosomal RNA, 253 nt
Filed under: uncultured bacterium
Lineage: Bacteria
Description: partial 16S ribosomal RNA
Rfam family: Bacterial small subunit ribosomal RNA
Source: RNAcentral
UACGGAGGGUGCGAGCGUUGUCCGGAUUUACUGGGCGUAAAGAGCGUGUAGGCGGCCAAACAGGUCCGUUGUGAAAACUGGAGGCUCAACCUCCAGACGUCGACGGAAACCGUGUGGCUAGAGUCCGGAAGAGGAGAGUGGAAUUCCUGGUGUAGCGGUGAAAUGCGCAGAUAUCAGGAAGAACACCAAUGGCGAAGGCAGCUCUCUGGGACGGUACUGACGCUGAGACGCGAAAGCGUGGGGAGCGAACAGG